Molecule: unclassified non-coding RNA, 1655 nt
Filed under: Portunus trituberculatus (swimming crab)
Lineage: Eukaryota; Metazoa; Arthropoda; Malacostraca; Decapoda; Portunidae
Description: tRNA (uracil(54)-C(5))-methyltransferase homolog, transcript variant X1
Source: RNAcentral
AAAUAGACAAAAUACAGUUUGUUUACAAGUGUACAGCUGAUGCCUGACGGUGGAGGUGGAUUAGGAGGCAGCGGUAGAAGAUUAUGUCUUUUUUCUGUCUGAUAUUAAAUUACAGGAUAUGGAAAAACUUUAACAUAGAUGUUCUAUAAGGCCAUGCAUUUAAUGUGAAAGUGCACAUAGGUAAGCAACAUGGGAGUCACUUCAGUGUGCUGCCUGGCCUCCCGAGUGUGGGCGAGGCACCUGAGGACUCAAGCUGCCAGCCAGCUGCCCCGGGGAAGCCAUCCCAGGCCUGAAGGGAGAGCCUCAGCCAAGGUUGUAUUGCCACUGACGGAGGAGGAUUUGCUGAAGAUAGCGGGAAACAGCUCAAGACAGAUGCAGCUUUUGGAAAGCACCAAAGAAAGUCACUCAAAGAAAACCGAACUUAAAUCUAUUGGUCUUAAAGAAAAGGGCAAGAAGGCAACUCCUCCUCCUCUUCCACCAGUCACUGAGGACAACCAGUUCCAGCGCCUUGCUGAGUCCGUCACUCCCCUGUGUGAGGUUCCAUACUUCAAGCAACUUGUGAUAAAAGAAAAGGAAUGCAAGAAAAUCCUUAAGGAACUGAGCCACAGGUUGUCUAAGGCUGGGCUACCAUUACAUAGAAACUUGAAGAAGCUGCCCUGUGUCCUUGAACCCACUAGGCCUUCACCAGAGUUGAUUGGAUACCGCAACAAAGAUGAGUUUGGGAUUCACUUUGGUGUUGAUGGCAACCCCAAGACUGUUGGCUUCUUCGUGGGGCGACCCUUGGAUCCGGAGAUGGUGUGUGUGCCACCCACCUUCCUCGUCAACAUGAGGGAGGAGCAUAAGCAGAUUGCACAGAGUUUCCAGAAGUUCAUCCGUCAGUCUCCCCACGAAGCCUGCCACCGCUUUGACACAGGCGGCGUGUGGCGGAACCUGGUGGUGCGCUCCACGGCCACCAGGAAGAAGAUGGCCUCUGUCAUCAUCCACCCUCAGGAGAUGCCCGAAGACGCCAUACAGGAAAUCAUGAAAGAUUUGCGCCAUUAUUUCUUCAACGGGGAAGGUUCUGAGUGUGAGCUGGACUCCUUGUACCUGCAGGCUUGCCCACACACACGCUGCACUCGAGAACAGGCACCAUAUCGCCUGGUGGCCGGCAAGGAGUGUAUCACAGAGACCUGCCUGGACCUCUCCUUCCAGAUCUCACCUGACUCAUUCUUCCAGAUCAAUACAAAGGGAGCUGAGGUUCUUUACAGCACUGUCAAGGAAAUAGCAGAAGUCUCCCCGGUCACCACCUUACUGGACAUUUGCUGUGGUACAGGUGAGGUCAUACAAGUUGCUGUAGGCCUCAGGAGGUGUGGUGCUCCUGACACUUGCUACCCAAACUACUACUUGUCUCAACACUCUUCUGGAAGGCAGCCUGUGGAUCCACACACACUAAUGUACGGUGAGUCUGGCCAUGGCACCGCAUGUCCGGGGCACCAUUGGCAUUGACGUCACCACCGGGGCUGUGGAGGACGCCAAGAAGAAUGCCACUCUUAACAACAUCAGCAAUGCCACCUUUAUUGCCGGCAGAGCUGAGAAGGUGCUGCCCCAGUUGACAACUGAGCUGGCCCAGUGUUCUGAUGUAGUGGCUGUAGUCAAUCCUGCAAGAGCUGGUUUGC